CAAUAGCGUAUAUUAAAGUUGUUGCAGUUAAAAAGCUCGUAGUUGGACCUUGGACCUGGACAGGCGGUCCGCCUCACGGCGUGUACUGUCUUGUUGGGUCUUUCCUCUUGGUGAUCUGUUGUUUCGGCGGCAGGGAACCAGGACUUUUACUUUGAAAAAAUUAGAGUGUUCAAAGCAGGCUCGACGCCGGAAUAUAUUAGCAUGGAAUAAUAAAAUAGGACGUGCGGUUCUAUUUUGUUGGUUUUUGGAAUCGCCGUAAUGAUUAAUAGGGACAGUCGGGGGCAUUAGUACUCACAUGCUAGAGGUGAAAUUCUUGGAUUUUGUGAAGACUAACUUCUGCGAAAGCAUUUGCCAAGGAUGUUUUCAUUAA
RNAcentral lists this ribosomal RNA (370 nucleotides) under uncultured eukaryote. RNAcentral describes it as "partial 18S ribosomal RNA". It matches the Rfam family "Eukaryotic small subunit ribosomal RNA", at positions 592 to 976 of the family's 1831-position model. The record is from RNAcentral.